UGGGGAAUAUUGCGCAAUGGGGGGAACCCUGACGCAGCCAUGCCGCGUGAAUGAAGAAGGCCUUCGGGUUGUAAAGUUCUUUCGGUAUUGAGGAAGGUUGAUGUGUUAAUAGCACAUCAAAUUGACGUUAAAUACAGAAGAAGCACCGGCUAACUCCGUGCCAGCAGCCGCGGUAAUACGGAGGGUGCGAGCGUUAAUCGGAAUAACUGGGUGUAAAGGGCACGCAGGCGGUUAUUUAAGUGAGGUGUGAAAGCCCUGGGCUUAACCUAGGAAUUGCAUUUCAGACUGGGUAACUAGAGUACUUUAGGGAGGGGUAGAAUUCCACGUGUAGCGGUGAAAUGCGUAGAGAUGUGGAGGAAUACCGAAGGCGAAGGCAGCCCCUUGGGAAUGUACUGACGCUCAUGUGCGAAAGCGUGGGGAGCAAACAGGAUUAGAUACCCUGGUAGUCCACGCUGUAAACGCUGUCGAUUUGGGGGUUGGGGUUUAACUCUGGCGCCCGUAGCUAACGUGAUAAAUCGACCGCCUGGGGAGUACGGCCGCAAGGUUA
This 547-nucleotide ribosomal RNA is filed under the name uncultured bacterium. RNAcentral describes it as "bacterial SSU rRNA". It matches the Rfam family "Bacterial small subunit ribosomal RNA", at positions 355 to 896 of the family's 1533-position model. The record is from RNAcentral.